Molecule: ribosomal RNA, 253 nt
Filed under: uncultured bacterium
Lineage: Bacteria
Description: partial 16S ribosomal RNA
Rfam family: Bacterial small subunit ribosomal RNA
Source: RNAcentral
UACGGGGGGGGCAAGCGUUGUUCGGAAUUACUGGGCGUAAAGGGCGAGUAGGCGGGUGGACAAGUCUCUCGUGAAAGCCCACGGCUCAACCGUUGAAUUGCGGGAGAUACUGUCUGUCUUGAGUCCGGGAGAGGAGGGUGGAAUUCCCAGUGUAGCGGUGAAAUGAGUAGAUAUUGGGAGGUACACAGGUGGCUAAGGCGGCUCUCUGGACCGGUACUGACGCUGAGGCGCGAAACCUAUGAGAGCAAACGUC